This is a ribosomal RNA of Vigna angularis (adzuki bean), 230 nucleotides long. It matches the Rfam family "Eukaryotic large subunit ribosomal RNA", at positions 1129 to 1358 of the family's 3401-position model. The record is from Rfam. NCBI's taxonomy places the organism in Eukaryota, Viridiplantae, Streptophyta, Magnoliopsida, Fabales, Fabaceae.
GGCCAUUUUUGGUAAGCAGAACUGGCGAUGCGGGAUGAACCGGAAGCUGGGUUACGGUGCCCAACUGCGCGCUAACCUAGACCCCACCAAGGGUGUUGGUCGAUUAAGACAGCAGGACGGUGGUCAUGGAAGUCGAAAUCCGGUAAGGAGUGUGUAACAACUCACCUGCCGAAUCAACUAGCCCCGAAAAUGGAUGGCGCUAAAGCGCGCGACCUAUACCCGGCCGUCGG